This 1243-nucleotide long non-coding RNA is filed under the name Drosophila melanogaster (fruit fly). RNAcentral's name for it is "antisense RNA:CR46452 (Dmel_CR46452)". Lineage: Eukaryota; Metazoa; Arthropoda; Insecta; Diptera; Drosophilidae. The record is from RNAcentral.
ACAGAAAGAAUGCCGCCCUUGGGCAUGCACGGCUUGCCAGUGCGCGUUCGUCCGCCCUCGAUGAAGAACUCGACGUUGUGGCCCUGCUUCAAGGCGUGGGUCAGAUACAGGUGUAGAGCAGCGCGAUAAAGCACGUCCUUCUUGCCCUCCACAGGAUCAAUCUUGCGUUUGAUGAAGAAAGCACCCAAACCACGUAGGAGCCCACCAAAGACCGGAAUUUGCAGGUUGUUGCCAGCGGCUACCAGAGGACUGCGUAUAUCGUUGUUCGUGAGUAUCCAUGUGACCAUGAUGUAGUCCAAGUGGCUGCGAUGCAGCGGAACAAAUAUCAGCGGAGUGCCCGGCGAACGCUCUGUGGCUGUUUUGAGCAUCUCGAUCUGCUUCGUGUUCGUAACGACUCCGGAGAGGAAGCAGGGCAGCAACUUGUACAGGAUCCAGGAAGUGAAGGCCAAAAGGCCAUUGUUCAGAGUGGAGCCCAUGUCCUUCAGUAUGCUAAUGGCGCGCUGCUCCUGCUUACGCAGAAUGGCCUGAUAGGAUAUACCCCUCUUCUCGUCCUCCUCCUCCUGCGCCUCCUGAUCUCCACUAGCACUGCGCGUGAGCAGACGAUGACCAUUUUUAGCAUAUCUCUGCUCCCUUAGCGUCUGCUCGGCGGCCUGUUUAAUUGCAUGCUUCAGUACAGCAUCGUUGUGCACGAUCUCGGUGACCUAAGGGGAUGCAGUUCAAGGUAACUACAGGUUUUAUGAGCUUUAAGGGGUCACCCACCUGUCGGUACUCGAACUUCUCGCUGCGCACCACCUGGGCAACAUAUGGGAAGAGCACGCCCCAGUCGAAUAGCUUCUUAAAAGGCUUCUGACCCGAAUGCGGGGUCAGCUCCAACAUAUUCUGCGUCCCAAUGCCAUGAGCCACCGAAUUCUGCGUCUUGGGCUCCUGCAAUGAAACGAUCGGAACAAUUCUGUGAUUGUGAUGCAACUGGCAUGCAUAUAGACGUCAUGCAGGCGGGUCAAUUGGUACCUCGAACCAGCCGCGAGCGUGAAACUCCUCCAUGGGCAUUCCAGCCAAGAGAUUCUACCGUUCUACAGCACUUUCAAAUUGUAAAUUUAUAAUUUACGCAUUUACCCAUGCGCCCGGCUUUUUUUGCAGGAAAUCGACGGCCGAUAAGUCCUUCUCAGCUUUCAGGAUUGUUAUCGAUUGGCAGGAUGAUGUGGCAACGCCACGAGUAUUUAAUUUAAAAUAGUGCAAACUUUUA